Omnitrophica WOR_2 bacterium is the source of this 213-nucleotide non-coding RNA. Lineage: Bacteria; Pseudomonadati; Candidatus Omnitrophota. The record is from Rfam.
AACAACGAAGGAGGAGCCGUCGGGUCGAAAUACCCUGACCAAUCACGGGAAGCUCGUGGAAAUCGAGCGCUGCCCCGCAACUGUAAUCCGAGGCAUUCCCUUUGCAGAAGCCACUGUCCCCCCUGUUUAGAUUUGCGAAGCAAAUCUAGGGGGGAUGGGAAGGCGCAAAGGUGUCCGGUGAGCCAGGAGACCGAUUGGCCGGGAGUCACCGAU